UAUACGUGUUUGGCGCAAUUAAC
RNAcentral lists this non-coding RNA (23 nucleotides) under Arabidopsis thaliana (thale cress). The record is from RNAcentral. Lineage: Eukaryota; Viridiplantae; Streptophyta; Magnoliopsida; Brassicales; Brassicaceae.